UCUGAAACAAAGUCUGUGAGUGAGCUGUGACACAUGUUACAUAAAUAGAAGCCGCAGAGGGGAAAAGCCUGUUUUCUCUUUCAUUAUUUAUCACUCUCUAACCAUCUCCAGCUGGGAACUCCCCUACUGUUAUUUAAGCCUGUUUGCUGUGAAGUUUCUGAUGCUUGCACCAAUACAAGAGCACAGCAGAAGAGUGUCUAAUCCAGCUCGGAGCAUUCAAGGAAAACCUCCAAGAGGAGGUGUCAUCUAAGCUACGGCUUAGAGUCAGCUGGGGAAGCACGGGGAAGGAAAGGUAUUCCAAGCAGAGGGCACAGCCGGAGAGGAAAGAGCCCAGUGUAUGCCAGAAGACUGACGUGGCCGAGCUGGGAGUGGCCACUGAAGAUUCAAGAAAGGACACCUUGUGCCUGUUGCACCAGAUCGAGGUGCUUAAAAUUGGCCCGGAGGGACUGGGUCUUGAACAAGCCAUGGAAACACCCUUGGCUCAGGCUCAAGACAAGCCGGAAGCGCUGGAGAGUUACUGUGUCUGAAAGCAGCCCUCCACCGAUGGCAAAGAAGGAGUUGCUGGAUAAAUACCCCAGCUUCUGGCCCCGUCGUAUGGACACCUCGAGGCAUGUCUCAAACAUCUUCCUGGGUUUCCGAGUGGGAACGUGCCCUCUCGCUCACAGUGGAGGCUAACGCUCCCAGUUGGCCUCCCACCCGCCGCUCCCCUCCCCGACUCCCUACACCCACUCCUCCAAUCCCUAUGUCAGUCAGUCUCCCGAGAACGGAAAUUAAGACAAAGGUGUUGUGAAAACCAAACAAGUAGAAAAUUGCGAGAUGUUCUUGCCGCGUAAAUUUUUUUUCCUUCUCGAUUGCACCCGUGCCAUAUGGACGUUCCCAGGCCAGGGAUCAAAUCCGAGCUGUGGCUGAAACCUAUGCCACAGCUUUGGCAAACACCAGAUCCUUAACCCACUGCACUAGGCCGGGGAUCGAACCCAUGCCUCCCACAGAGACAACACUGGAUUUUUAACCCACUGCGCCACAGCAGAGACUCCUCCGUGUAACUUCUAUCUUUUGUGGCUCAGGUCAUCCCCACGCUGGGUCCACCGCCACACUCAGAAGAGACUGGUCAGUUUCUCCUUUGGGCCUGAGGUUCCUAGCAAGGGACUUUGCAGAGACCAAGGCAAACUCCAUGAUCAAGAAACCCUUUCUGAGCUCUCACUCCAGUUUCUCCUCUUUUUUUUUUUCUGUUUGUUUGGUUUUUUUUUCCUUUUUUUU
This is a long non-coding RNA of Sus scrofa (pig), 1257 nucleotides long. RefSeq lists it as uncharacterized. The record is from RefSeq and is a predicted model, not a curated record. Lineage: Eukaryota; Metazoa; Chordata; Mammalia; Artiodactyla; Suidae.